GGGCCCGCACAAGCGGUGGAGCAUGUGGUUUAAUUCGACGCAACGCGAAGAACCUUACCUACACUUGACAUCCUCGGAACUUUCUAGAGAUAGAUUGGUGCCUUCGGGAACCGAGUGACAGGUGCUGCAUGGCUGUCGUCAGCUCGUGUCGUGAGAUGUUGGGUUAAGUCCCGUAACGAGCGCAACCCUUAUCCUUAAUUGCCAGCGGUUAGGCCGGGAACUCUAAGGAGACUGCCGAUGACAAAUCGGAGGAAGGUGGGGACGACGUCAAGUCAUCAUGGCCCUUACGUGUAGGGCUACACACGUGCUACAAUGGCCGGUACAAACGGUUGCGAACCCGCGAGGGGAAGCUAAUCCCAGAAAACGUCUCGUAGUCCGGAUUGGAGUCUGCAACUCGACUCCAUGAAGUCGGAAUC
Molecule: ribosomal RNA, 416 nt
Filed under: uncultured bacterium
Lineage: Bacteria
Description: bacterial SSU rRNA
Rfam family: Bacterial small subunit ribosomal RNA
Source: RNAcentral